GACGAACGCUGGCGGCGUGCUUAACACAUGCAAGUCGAACGGAAAGGCCCUGCUUUUGUGGGGUGCUCGAGUGGCGAACGGGUGAGUAACACGUGAGUAACCUGCCCCUGACUUUGGGAUAACUUCAGGAAACUGGGGCUAAUACCGGAUAGGAGCUCCUGCUGCAUGGUGGGGGUUGGAAAGUUUCGGCGGUUGGGGAUGGACUCGCGGCUUAUCAGCUUGUUGGUGGGGUAGUGGCUACCAAGGCUUUGACGGGUAGCCGGCCUGAGAGGGUGACCGGCCACAUUGGGACUGAGAUACGGCCCAGACUCCUACGGGAGGCAGCAGUGGGGAAUAUUGCACAAUGGGCGGAAGCCUGAUGCAGCAACGCCGCGUGCGGGAUGACGGCCUUCGGGUUGUAAACCGCUUUCGCCUGUGACGAAGCGUGAGUGACGGUAAUGGGUAAAGAAGCACCGGCUAACUACGUG
This 467-nucleotide ribosomal RNA is filed under the name uncultured bacterium. Its description in RNAcentral is "partial 16S ribosomal RNA". It matches the Rfam family "Bacterial small subunit ribosomal RNA", at positions 28 to 507 of the family's 1533-position model. The record is from RNAcentral.